RNAcentral lists this ribosomal RNA (373 nucleotides) under uncultured organism. RNAcentral's name for it is "partial 16S ribosomal RNA". It matches the Rfam family "Bacterial small subunit ribosomal RNA", at positions 527 to 896 of the family's 1533-position model. The record is from RNAcentral.
GUAGGUGGCAAGCGUUGUCCGGAAUUAUUGGGCGUAAAGCGCGCGCAGGCGGUUCUUUAAGUCUGAUGUGAAAGCCCACGGCUCAACCGUGGAGGGUCAUUGGAAACUGGAGAACUUGAGUACAGAAGAGGAAAGCGGAAUUCCACGUGUAGCGGUGAAAUGCGUAGAGAUGUGGAGGAACACCAGUGGCGAAGGCGGCUUUCUGGUCUGUAACUGACGCUGAGGCGCGAAAGCGUGGGGAGCAAACAGGGAUUAGAUACCCUGGUAGUCCACGCCGUAAACGAUGAGUGCUAAGUGUUAGGGGGUUUCCGCCCCCCUUAGUGCUGCAGCUAACGCAUUAAGCACUCCGCCUGGGAGUACGGCCGCAAGGCUG